Molecule: ribosomal RNA, 253 nt
Filed under: uncultured bacterium
Lineage: Bacteria
Description: partial 16S ribosomal RNA
Rfam family: Bacterial small subunit ribosomal RNA
Source: RNAcentral
UACGUAGGGUGCGAGCGUUACUCGGAAUUACUGGGCGUAAAGCGUGCGCAGGCGGUUCGUUGUGUCCGGUGUGAAAGCCCCGAGCUUAACUUGGGAAUGGCAUUGGAAACUGGCGAGCUGGAGUGUGGCAGAGGGGGGUGGAAUUCCACGUGUAGCAGUGAAAUGCGUAGAGAUGUGGAGGAACACCGAUGGCGAAGGCAGCCCCCUGGGCCAACACUGACGCUCAGGCACGAAAGCGUGGGGAGCAAACAGG